AUACGGAGGAUCCGAGCGUUAUCCGGAUUUAUUGGGUUUAAAGGGUGCGCAGGCGGCCAUUUAAGUCAGCGGUUAAAUCGUGGGGCUCAACCCCAUUCUGCCGUUGAUACUGGGUGGCUUGAUUGCGGUCGAGGUUGGCGGAAUUCGUUGUGUAGCGGUGAAAUGCAUAGAUAUGACGAAGAACACCGAUUGCGUAGGCAGCUGACCAGACCGCAAAUGACGCUCAUGCACGAAAGUGCGGGGAUCGAACAGGAUUAGAUACCCUGGUAGUCCGCACAGUAAACGAUGAAUACUUGUUUUCGGCGAUAUAAUGUCGGAGGCAAAGCGAAAGCGAUAAGUAUUCCACCUGGGGCGUACGCCGGCAACGGUGAAACUCAAAUGAAUUGGCGGGG
This 392-nucleotide ribosomal RNA is filed under the name uncultured bacterium. Its description in RNAcentral is "partial 16S ribosomal RNA". It matches the Rfam family "Bacterial small subunit ribosomal RNA", at positions 523 to 918 of the family's 1533-position model. The record is from RNAcentral.